AUUGAACGCUGGCGGCAUGCCUUACACAUGCAAAUCGAACGGUAACGGGCCUUCGGGUGCCGACGAGUGGCGAACGGGUGCGUAAUACAUCGGAACGUGCCCGAUCGUGGGGGAUAACGAGGCGAAAGCUUUGCUAAUACCGCAUACGAUCUACGGAUGAAAGCAGGGGACCGCAAGGCCUUGCGCGGACGGAGCGGCCGAUGGCAGAUUAGGUAGUUGGUGGGAUAAAAGCUUACCAAGCCGACGAUCUGUAGCUGGUCUGAGAGGAUGAUCAGCCACACUGGGACUGAGACACGGCCCAGACUCCUACGGGAGGCAGCAGUGGGGAAUUUUGGACAAAGGGCGCAAGCCUGAUCCAGCCAUGCCGCGUGCAGGAUGAAGGCCUUCGGGUUGUAAACUGAUUUUGUACGGAACGAAAAGCCUUCUUUUAAUACAGGAGGGUCAUGACGGUACCGUAAGAAUAAGCACCGGCUAACUACGUG
Molecule: ribosomal RNA, 482 nt
Filed under: uncultured bacterium
Lineage: Bacteria
Description: partial 16S ribosomal RNA
Rfam family: Bacterial small subunit ribosomal RNA
Source: RNAcentral